Long non-coding RNA from Eupeodes corollae, 1847 nucleotides. RefSeq lists it as uncharacterized. The transcript has 3 exons. NCBI's taxonomy places the organism in Eukaryota, Metazoa, Arthropoda, Insecta, Diptera, Syrphidae. The record is from RefSeq and is a predicted model, not a curated record.
UCGCUAUUAUAGAGUAAACAAGCAAUUGUUUAAACAUUUGCUUGAUAUGCUAUCUAAUUUCUUCCCUCCAACCAAGAAACCAAUAUCAGUUCCUUCUAUAGUCAAGCUAAGUGCAUGCUUACGCUUUUUUUCCGAACGGGCGUAGGAAAAGAUCAUGAGGUUGGGCUGGCUCAAUCUUCUUUUUCGGAAGUCCUGGCAAAUGUCUUGGGUUUUUUUGAGACCACAAUUUGCCCCAUAUUUUUAAAAACUGAAAUGAACGACGAAGAAAAGAGGCGAACAAAAUUGAACUUUUACGAAAAACGUGUAAUACCUGGGGUAAUGGGCUGCAUAGACGGCACUCACGUUAAAAUAAUUGGCCCACCAACGAACAAACACUUAUGUAUAUUACAACAGGAAAGGAUAUUUUAUUUUGAACGUCUUACUUGUUUGCGACGACGAGAUGAAAAUUAGAUUUGUAGAUGCUUCACACUCUGGAGCAUCACAUGAUUCAUUUAUUUGGAGAGUAAGUGAACUGCGAUCCUGGCUAGAAGAAAAAUAUUUAAAUGGUGACAGAAAUUCUUGGCUAUUGGGUGAUGCUGGAUAUCUCUUGGAACUAUGGUUCAAUCACCGCAUCGAACAGUACAAGGUUCAUCGGAAGAUAAUUUCAAUGAAGCCCAUACUCGGUGCCGAAAUAUAAUUGAAAGGACGAAUAGGGUCCUUAAAGGAAGAUGCAGGUGUCUGCUCGGUGCCAGAGAGCUGCACUACCUUUCAAAAAAAGCAAUUAAAAUAGUGAAUGCAUGCUGCGCCUUACAAAACAUGUGCAUUCAUUUUAAAAGCGAUUUUCCAGUUAAUGUGAGUACUGAAUUUAUAGAUGAUGAAGUCAAUUCCACCGACACCAAUAAUAGAGGUGAAGAUUUUGAUAUAAACGGUAUAGAAUACAAUCACCAAGCAAAACGUAUAAGAAGAGAAAUAGGAAAUAGACUUUAAGUUUUUAAGCUAAUCAAAACACAUUUAUUUUUAGUAUUCAUUUACUUAUGGGUGUAUUUCGUACUCAAGUGAUAAUAAAAACAAAAAAUAUAUACGACUUCAUAAAUAGAACUUAGCAUAAAAAAUGAGUUCAAAACAAAAAAAAAACAAAAGAAAAAUAAAAAUUCAUCACAAGAAAAGGCACUUUUAAAAUUAAAAAAAUUAAAUUAUGUUCAACUUAUAACUUUUUUAGUUUUUCUUCCUUGAUUUCAAUUAAUUGUUUUUGGAACUCGAGCUUUGCUUUAAUUUCCUGCAUUCUCAUUGCUUCCAUUUCAAGGUUGUGCCUUGAGGUUUCAUCCAACAUCUUCUUCUGAAAUUCACUAAUUUUGUCAAUGGACCUGCAUAUUUUCUUGGAAUGGUAUUAAAUUUCUUUUUGGUGUCGCUUCAUAGCCUCAACUGCCUCUUCAACCUUAUUGCAGAGUUGUUUUUGAAUUUUGAUUUCUCGUUCUAAAGCGACGUCACAAGUUAUGCCUUUUUGUGUUUUUUUUGUAGGACGAGGAGUUGAAGUUCUGUGUUCAAUGUUCAUAUGGGAACCAUUUGUUUCAAUGUUCUUCUCCUCCGGUUCAGUUGCAUUCGUUAUCAUAGCAAACAUAACAUUCUCGUCGUGUCCUUUAACACUUCAACAGAACGGCUGACUGAUGAUGAAUUAGGACAAUUUUCACUUUCGACGAUUUUAUUUCGAUUACCGUCUGUCUUUCUCUUUUUGUAACCUUCCACCGAUUCUUCUAAGGCACAAAUUUUAAUUAUUGUUUCCUUGAACGCACUGAAUUUAUACUCCUUGUGUGGGCCUCCACCGGUUGCUUUUUGUUGUCUCUUGUUUUUAGACAUUUUCUUCCUCACGU